GACGAACGCUGGCGGCGUGCUUAACACAUGCAAGUCGAACGGAAAGGCCCUGCUUUUGUGGGGUGCUCGAGUGGCGAACGGGUGAGUAACACGUGAGUAACCUGCCCUUGACUUUGGGAUAACUUCAGGAAACUGGGGCUAAUACCGGAUAGGAGCUCCUGCUGCAUGGUGGGGGUUGGAAAGUUUCGGCGGUUGGGGAUGGACUCGCGGCUUAUCAGCUUGUUGGUGGGGUAGUGGCUUACCAAGGCUUUGACGGGUAGCCGGCCUGAGAGGGUGACCGGCCACAUGGGGACUGAGAUACGGCCCAGACUCGUACGGGAGGCAGCAGUGGGGAAUAUUGAACAAUGGGCGGAAGCCUGAUGCGGAAACGCCGGGGGCGGGAUGCCGGCCUUCGGGUUGUAAACAGCUUUAGCCUGUGACGAAGCGUGAGUGACGGUAAUGGGUAAAGAAGCACCGGCUAACUACGUG
RNAcentral lists this ribosomal RNA (468 nucleotides) under uncultured bacterium. RNAcentral's name for it is "partial 16S ribosomal RNA". It matches the Rfam family "Bacterial small subunit ribosomal RNA", at positions 28 to 507 of the family's 1533-position model. The record is from RNAcentral.